RNAcentral lists this ribosomal RNA (253 nucleotides) under uncultured bacterium. RNAcentral's name for it is "partial 16S ribosomal RNA". It matches the Rfam family "Bacterial small subunit ribosomal RNA", at positions 524 to 776 of the family's 1533-position model. The record is from RNAcentral.
UACCGAGGGGGCAAGCGUUGUUCGGAAUUACUGGGCGUAAAGGGCGCGUAGGCGGCCUUCUAAGUCGAACGUGAAAUCCCCGGGCUCAACCCGGGAACUGCGUCCGAUACUGGAAGGCUUGAAUCCGGGAGAGGGAUGCGGAAUUCCAGGUGUAGCGGUGAAAUGCGUAGAUAUCUGGAGGAACACCGGUGGCGAAGGCGGCAUCCUGGACCAAUAUUGACGCUGAGGAGCGAAAGCCAGGGGAGCAAACGGG